AGACUGAAGGAGAGCAGACAACAAGCAAGGAGACUAGUAUACAAGGAGUUUCAACAAUUCUACUUCAUCUGAUGCCUAUACUUUAGACAACUCAUGAGGCAAACUGUUAGAGCCACUGCCAGUUGCUCAAGCUAAUACACUGACUCCAGAAUCUCUGGUAGGUACAUCUUCCUUUCUCCCUGGUCUAACACCCUUAAGUCUAUUCAGACAUAUAUCCCCCAGGUUUCUACCAAUAUGAAUUGGUAAAUUAUUCUGGUGUUCAGACUUAAUACUUAUUCCCCUAAGAUCUGCAGGAUUUAAGUUUAAUUAUGGAUCUCAAAGAAAUGAGUGACAGUGGAGUUGGAUUUAGAAGUGAAUUAUUUCCCUAUAAAUCAAGAAUCUCAAGUGAGGUAAUUACAGGGUUUUCAGGCAAUCAACACAAGGAGAAAUGACUGCUUCCCAGCAUGAAGAAUCAGCAGGAUUUGGGGAAUACAAGGCAACAUUUAUUUAAAUCUAUCCAAAUGAUCUCUUUUUGAUUAUCAGGAUCCUUUAUUUCCCAUUUGAUAUCUUAAUUCUAACAUAAGAAGUCUACUGAGGCCACAAACUCAUUUGCAUUGUAUUUCAAGCAACUUCAGGAUCAGACAUUGGGUUUUAUUUUCAGAAGUUAUGAUCCUAUUACUAUAAAAAAUAAGGGUUUCUUGGCCGGGCACAGUGGCUCACACCUAUAAUCCCAGCACUUUGGGAGGCCGAGGCGGGCAAAUCACGAGGUCGGGAGAUCGAGACCAUCCUGGCUAACACGGUGAAAACCCGUCUCCACUAAAAAUACAAAAAAUUAGCCGGCCAUGGUGGCAGGGCGCCUGUGGUCCCAGCUACUCGGGAGGCUGAGGCAGGAGAAUCGCAUGAACCCAGGAGGCGGCGCUUGCACUGAGCCGAGAUCGCGCCACUGCACUCCAGCCUGGGCGACAAAGUGAGACUCCGUCUCAAAAAAAAAAUAAAAUAAAAUAAAUUAAAAAAAAAAUAAGGGUUUCUUUUAGGUCAGUCAGAGAUGCUACCUGGUUCUCCAACCAUUAAUUACAGCCCUAAACUUGUCAUUUAUUUUCCAUUAGUUCUCCAGUGCAGUGAGAAUAGGACAGCACAUCCCAUGGUCCUUCUUGUCUUAGUUUUCAUCAUAAUUUUCCAUUGCAAUAGCUAUUUGGUUUCCCAAAGCUACUUGGUUUCCUUUCUUCUACAGAUACUUGGCUCCAUAACACUAUGUAUGAGAACUCAUAACACUGCUAGUAAGAACUCAGAAGGAAGUGUGCAGCAUGAGAGAGAAAACAUAUAUUGUCUUAGAGAAUACUAUACCUAAGUCAUUGAGAACAGACUGGAGAUAGAAAAAUGGUCAUUAAGGUCAUUGCCAAUGAAUGCUCAGAAGGAAAUGAGAAACAUGUUAUUGGAAACUAGAGGCAAGGGAAUCCGUGUUACACAGUAACAGAAAAUUUGGCUGAAUUAGGUGUUGCAGUUAUGUGGAAUACAAAACUUACAAAUGAUAACUUAGACAUUUAGUUGAGGAAAUUUCCAAGCAAAGCAUUGAAGGUGUAGUCUGGUUUCUUACUGUUUAUAGUAAAUAUGAGAGGAAAAAGAAAGAUUGGGGGAGAACUCGUAAGCAAAGAGGAAUAAGGACUUGAUAAUUCAGGAAAUUCUCAGCCUAUCCAGACUACAAGAGAGACUAAAAUUAAGAGAGUCACUGUCAGUUAAGUGUGUUCUGCACAGAAAGCCAAGGUUGCAGAGCUGGAUUGAUUUUCACUAGUUCCUUGGAAAGAUCAAAAGGUCAGGGUCAAAAAGAAAUUUGAAGAUGUUAUGCUGCUGUCUUUAAAGAAUGGGCCGGCCAGACACAGUGGCUCACGCCUGUAAUCCUAACACUUUGAGAGGCUGAGGUGGGCGGAUUGCCUGAGCUCAGGAGUUCCAGACCAGCCUGGGCAACAUGGUGAAACCCCAUCUCUACUAAAAUACGAAAAAUUAGCCAGGCAUGGCAGCGUGCAUCUGUAGUCCCAGCUGCUUGGGAGACUGAGGCAGGAGAAUUGCUUGAACCCGCCUAGGAGGCGGAGGUUGCGGUGAGCCGAGAUCAAGCCACUGUACUCUGGCCUGGGUGACUGAGUGAGACACCGUCUCCAAAAUAAACAAAGAAAGAAAGAAAGAAAGGGCCAUGAGCCAAGGAGUGUAAUUGGAGGAGGCAAGGAAACAAAUUCUCCUCUAGAGUAUAUAGGAGAAAAAUAGUUCUGUUGAUGCCUUGAUUUUACUCCAGUGAAGCCUUUUUUGGACUUCUGACCUCCAGAACUGUAAGAUAAUAAAUUUGUGUGGUUUUCAG
Molecule: long non-coding RNA, 2326 nt
Organism: Homo sapiens (human)
Lineage: Eukaryota; Metazoa; Chordata; Mammalia; Primates; Hominidae
Exons: 2
Source: RefSeq, a predicted model, not a curated record